GAAUCGCUAGUAAUCGUGGAUCAGAAUGUCACGGUGAAUACGUUCCCGGGCCUUGUCACACCGCCCGUCACACCAUGGGAGUGGACUGCACCAGAAGUGGUUAGCCUAACUUCGGAGGGCGAUCACCACGGUGUGGUUCAUGACUGGGGUGAAGUCGUAACAAGGUAGCCGUAGGGGAACCUGCGGCUGGAUCACCUCCUUA
This 202-nucleotide ribosomal RNA is filed under the name Halomonas sp. SA-Hm1. Its description in RNAcentral is "partial 16S ribosomal RNA". It matches the Rfam family "Bacterial small subunit ribosomal RNA", at positions 1329 to 1533 of the family's 1533-position model. RNAcentral also lists the same sequence under 1 other name. The record is from RNAcentral. Lineage: Bacteria; Pseudomonadati; Pseudomonadota; Gammaproteobacteria; Oceanospirillales; Halomonadaceae.